AAGUCGUAACAAGGUUUCCGUAGGUGAACCUGCGGAAGGAUCAUUAACACGUAUCCAACGUUAAACCCCCCGUGAACUUUUAUUGCGAACCACGCCUUUGUUAGAAAGUAGCAAUCCCUGGUAAAUCAUCGCCGAACAGUUUUGAUUCAGGGAUCUCUGCGAAGAGAGCGGUUGUAGCGCGAGGUAAGUGGCCUGGCAUGCCUCUGUCACUAGCUCUGUACGAAUGGCGCAGUCACGAUCGCUAGAGGCCGACACGGCCGGCGACCGGGUCACCGGGCAUAGACCCCCCUAUCACCUUUGCAUGAACGGGCCUACCAAACUCGAACAACUGUUAACAAUGGAUAUCUUGGUUCUC
Molecule: unclassified non-coding RNA, 355 nt
Filed under: fungal sp.
Lineage: Eukaryota; Fungi
Description: partial internal transcribed spacer region
Rfam family: Eukaryotic small subunit ribosomal RNA (bases 1-46)
Source: RNAcentral